Molecule: long non-coding RNA, 2823 nt
Organism: Dendrobium catenatum
Lineage: Eukaryota; Viridiplantae; Streptophyta; Magnoliopsida; Asparagales; Orchidaceae
Exons: 2
Source: RefSeq, a predicted model, not a curated record
UUUUCUAUUCCCUCCUAAUAAUAUUUAUUGAUUCCGCUUCAGAAUAAUAAUUUAUUAGUUGGAAUAGGUUCCAUUCUUCUCUUUCACGUUGCAGAAUUUGUCUUUUUUUUUUUUACUUCUUUUUUAAUUUGUUUAUAUCUGGCUUAUCGUAGUACCUUUGUUUUGAUAAAAUAGGUUCCUGCCUUCUUACUGUGGGUAAGUUAACUAGCUUAGUUUUUGCUUGGUUCUAUUUAAAGUAUCUCGGCCAGCUUUAAUUUGCUCCGUUGCUUCUAUUUUUUUGCUGGACUUACAACUUAAGAUUAGAUUUUGCUCCCUUAGCCUUUAAUUUAGUCAUCUAUACAGAAAGCAUGACAUUUAGCUAAAUUCAUGUUUUUUAAUUACGGCUUCUGCCGUUCUGUUGAUUAUAAUGGCUAUUUUCCUAAAUAAUGGUGUUAAUUUUCUAUUGUUGCGCAGAUUACUUAUAUUUUAUUAGUGUAUACACAACUUAUCCUCUCUAUCAUUGAUUGUUGUUGCAUGUUAGAAAACCUUCCUUUGUUCCAUAAAAUCAAAUAAUCUCAAUCUGAAUGGGACCCUGCAUACAAUUAGUUCAAAAAAGAGUUAUGUUAGCAGUACAGUUGAGGGCAUCUACCUUUGGUUAAGGCCUCUGACGUUCAGUUCAGUGAUUGAUUGAGCCAGAGAUUGUUCUCAGAGAUGCCUUUGAGGCUUGUGCUUGGAGUUCUUGAUCCUAUUGAGGGGUGUAUAUCUUUGUGGACAUGGGUUAAUGUAAUUAUGUUGAUUGGUGUGCCUUUGUGAAUCAUCAAUAGGCAAGGUACACCAUACUACUCAUUUUGUUUCUUGAUGAACUCCAUUAAUAUUGAAAUAUGCAUCAUUCGUAUAUUGCUAUUUGUUUAUAUGAAUUGAUAUAUGAUAGAAAUUUUUUCCUAUUGUUUGAGCAUAGAAUCCAUUUAUCACCUUUUUAACUUAUCACUAAUAUUCUGAGGGAGUAGAGUUUCAUGGGCUAUUAUCAUGGGGAAAUGAAUAAUCCAUAUUGUUAAGUUUAGCAGAACACAUUUGAUCUCAAUAGUUGGUUCUUGAGAUAAAAUUCUAUAUCCAUUUUAUGUGAUUGUGCUGAUCAAACACAAAUUUGUGCUUGAUUGGGAUUGGUCAGGAUGUCAGGGUAAGUACAAACUUUCCCAAUCAACGUACAUGGUCAUUGGAACAUGAGUUUUGUGUACUUAAUCAUACGUUUUGUGCACUUCAUUAUUGUUUCUCUUACACAAGCCAUUGUUGCCACUUAAUUUUGGCAGACAUAGGAUAUUAGAACUCGGGAGAGAGCAAGCUUUCAUACAAUUAUGGCUAUAAUGACCCCUAUGGAUGUGGUGUAGGAUUCGAGUUUCCUACUUUGAUAUUCUUUUUGGUGCGAGUUAGGAUUGGGGUGUUAUAGCAAGGCUUACACUUCCAUAAAUAUUAUCUAUGACAUCAAAAUUAAGGCAAGGCUAGCAAUUUCAUUGUUUCUUUGUGGACAUGUUCUAUAAAUCUUGUUAGUGGAUGGUGCAAUAUGAGAUAUGGAGAAUGAAGUAGCAAGGUGCCUUUAUCUUCAUUUCAUUGCUGACCAAGUUGGAAGAAUCUUCAUUUUGUAGGCUGGACGACUAAACAAUUUAGCUAAAGUUUAAGGCCUCAAGCUCUCUCUUUCUCUCUCUCUUGCGCGUGUGCUCGCACACGCUGAGCUAUAUUAUUCAACAUGUUGUGACAAUGACCAAUUAUCCUUAAUCAUUUUUUAGAUCAAAAUAUAUGCUUACUAAAAAAAAGAUGAGAUUAAUUUUGAAUUUUCAUUUGUCAGAUAACAAACCUCAAGUUAACAUUUAUGAAGUCAACUAGUCAUUUACAAAUUAUUAUUGUUAGAUCUCCUCAUAUGCUAUAUAUCAAGAAGAUAGGGAGGUUUAAAUUUUGUUGUUGUUGAAAAUGUGGCUACUUUGAUAAGGAUUCUAUCAUAAGCAUAUAUGGUUGUUGAGUUAUUAAUAAUUAUAAAAUUUAGAAAUUUACAAUGCAACCAUCCUUUUAGAAGAACAAAGUCCAUUCCCCUUGCACAUCUUGCUCCCUCGAUCAAAAUAAUUAAAUGAAUUAGAUUCAAAGUAGCUAAUAGUGAACUUUUAGCUAACUCUUAUAUUCCCAAUGACUUUUACGCUUUUAGCUAAUUCAAAUAUUAUUCAUUCACAUAUUUUGACUGAGGGUACAAGGUGUGGAAGGAGAAAGAACUCUAUCAUUCUAAAAGAUAUAAUCUAUUAAUCUUACCCAAAUUUAAUUAUCUUAUGCCAUUAGCACUAUAAUUUAGUUUUAUGUUGUUGAGUGAGUGAGAUAAACAUGUUCAUGAGUGUGUAUGAUUCUUACUAUUGCGAAAUUGAUUCAAAAUUAGUCAAAUUGAGCUCUUAUUUCAUUUGCUGUGGAAAAUUCAUUUAAUAAUAUGAUUAUUUAUUGUUGUGAUUUAUGUGAAUUGCUUCAUUUAUUGCUGAGUUUUAUCGCUGGAUAAAUUAUAUUGUCAUGAUGAAUACUUUAUGUUUUUGCUGAAAAUUUGGAGAGAAAAAGGGUGCAUCUAAGUUUGGAUGAGUUAAGCAUGUAGGUGUUUGUCAAGUAAAAGAAGCAUUGGAGAGAGGGUUACUACAUUUAUGAUUUGACAGAUCAAUAAAAAAAAAGUGAAAGAAAGUGGAGUCUUGAAUAUUAUAAGAUUAAAAAAUAAAAGAGAAAAAAAAGAUAGGAGAAGAAGAUUUUGAUGGGAAACGAUAAUUUGAGAAUUGAGAAGGUUCGUGUAGGAAAAGAUUCUAAGUGUAGCAUUAAAAAAAAAAAAGA